Molecule: long non-coding RNA, 472 nt
Organism: Patella vulgata (common limpet)
Lineage: Eukaryota; Metazoa; Mollusca; Gastropoda; Patellidae
Exons: 2
Source: RefSeq, a predicted model, not a curated record
GAUAGUGUACACGACUGAUAUUAUUAUUCUCGUGCCAAAUAUACGGCCUUGACUUUGGGAUAAUCAUCACGUCUUCGCCAAUGCCAUGAACAUGAAGAGCAAGCAGGAUGAGCUUAAAUGCCGUAGUAAAAUUUGUGACAGGAGAAAUAUCUCAACAAUCUUAGAAAUAAUUUGUUCAAUAUAUCAUAUCCUCAGUCAUGAAUAUGAAAACAUGGUCGGGAGCAGCAAGAGCACGGCAAGAAAUAUUGAAUGUGAAAUGUGCAUCUGAAAUUAUACUGUUUUAAAUUGAUGGAAUUGGACCCCAUGUGAACAGAGGAAUGAACAUAUACAUGUAUUUCAACCAAUAAUCGAAUUUUUAAAAAAUGAUUCAAAAAUAUUUUAUUUACCCCAAGUUGUCACAAAUGUUGUUAGACUCCAGUGAAAUUGCUUUCAUGUUAAAAUCAUAAAGAAUAAAAAACGUGAUUUACAAACA